This 639-nucleotide ribosomal RNA is filed under the name uncultured Actinomycetes bacterium. RNAcentral describes it as "bacterial SSU rRNA". It matches the Rfam family "Bacterial small subunit ribosomal RNA", at positions 232 to 885 of the family's 1533-position model. Lineage: Bacteria; Bacillati; Actinomycetota; Actinomycetes. The record is from RNAcentral.
CGCGGCCUAUCAGCUUGUUGGUGAGGUAACGGCUCACCAAGGCAUCGACGGGUAGCUGGUCUGAGAGGACGAUCAGCCACACUGGGACUGAGACACGGCCCAGACUCCUACGGGAGGCAGCAGUAGGGAAUCUUGCGCAAUGGGCGAAAGCCUGACGCAGCAACGCCGCGUGGGGGAUGAAUGCCUUCGGGUUGUAAACCCCUUUCAGCAGGGACGAAAAUGACGGUACCUGCAGAAGAAGCUCCGGCCAACUACGUGCCAGCAGCCGCGGUAAUACGUAGGGAGCGAGCGUUGUCCGGAAUUAUUGGGCGUAAAGAGCUCGUAGGCGGUUCGGUAAGUCGGGUGUGAAAACUCAAGGCUCAACCUUGAGACGCCACUCGAUACUGCUGUGACUUGAGUCCGGUAGAGGAGUGUGGAAUUCCUGGUGUAGCGGUGAAAUGCGCAGAUAUCAGGAGGAACACCAGCGGCGAAGGCGGCACUCUGGGCCGGUACUGACGCUGAGGAGCGAAAGCAUGGGGAGCAAACAGGAUUAGAUACCCUGGUAGUCCACGCCGUAAACGUUGGGCACUAGGUGUGGGUCUCAACCAACGAGAUCCGCGCCGUCGCUAACGCAUUAAGUGCCCCGCCUGGGGAGUACGG